RNAcentral lists this long non-coding RNA (2946 nucleotides) under Ricinus communis (castor bean). RNAcentral describes it as "long non-coding RNA (RCOM_LNC001072)". Lineage: Eukaryota; Viridiplantae; Streptophyta; Magnoliopsida; Malpighiales; Euphorbiaceae. The record is from RNAcentral.
CCAAAUUUCAGUUUGGGCCAAGCAAAAGAAAUACCAUCUCCACCAAACUAAUUGCAUUGACUUCAAACGCAAACAUAAAAAUGAGACAUUUUUCAGAUUUAGGCAUCAGGAUUUGCCAAGAGGUAGCCUUCCACAGCCUUGAACAGACCCAUGGACUUUUCUUUCCCAGCCUUGAUAUCCUCUUGUUUGAGCUCAAAAUCACCAAUUGUGUAGUACUUGCUGAGAGACUUGACGAGGCAUCCUCCAUCAGGAGUUGCCUCAAACUUAAUCUCAUUAGAUAUUUUUUCAAGUUUUCCAAUCAACACAUCUCCUUCAAUCAUCGUGUAUGCAUAUGUUAAAUUCUCCUUGUCUACGGAAUCUGUCCUCUCCUUUGCAUACUUGAAUUGGCUAGCUGGAGAAAACAAAAUCAUGCAUGCAGAGUUGGUUCAGUAGAUAAAGAAGAGUGCUUCAUUUCCUUGUUAACUCGGAUUCAACUUUUAUUAUCACACUACAAGUGAACUUCUGAAUAUAUAGUAAUUGUGACUUACCAUCGCCAAAGUUAAUCUGCUUGAUAGUUCCGGCACCUCCAUCACCUUCAAGAAUGUCAAUACUCUUGAUAGCCUGAGGCAAGAUCUUUGCGAUGAGGGUGUUGCCCUCAAGGACAAAUGCCUUGAACAUUUUGGCUGCUGGGAUUGUUGUAGCAACCUCCAUCUCAUAAGUCACAACAGCCAUGAUGAUAGAUUUUAUGGAACCUGAAGUUUCAGAAACUAUAUAUCAAAGAAAGAAUACAGGAAAUGGAAAGGAAGAGAAUGUUUUAGACCGCUGAUCUUUUUUCUGUCUUGAGGAUGAAGAAAUAUGAGAACAAGAGGCAUAUUUAUAGGUAAAGAUUGUGCUGAAAAUAGUUGAAUUAGUACAAAUUUUUCAAGUUUACAAACUUAGAUGACCAAGCAAAUGCUUUUUUAUUUUUAAAGAACUAGAAAGAGAAAUAUUAAGAUUCCAAAUGGUGUCUUAUGUACAGAGUCAUUCCUGGACCAGAUCAUGGAUAUAUAAUAAAUAUUAGAAGAAAGAGACAAAUAUAUGGAUAUUUAGAUCAAGAAACUAUUAUCAUGAUUAAUCAAGUGCUGGGUAAACUAGGACUCAUAUACAUAUAUACACACACACACAAUUUGAGGGUUAAAAGAACUAGGAACUUUUGACUUGAAGUGUUGCAUAUAUAGCUAUAAUUGCUUGGACAUGAGUACUUAACUAAGGAUUGACUAAAUUGUAUGUAUAUUUAAAGAGAAACUUGGCAGUUUAAGACAAAAUAAAUUAGGGUUAGGGAUGCCUAGCUAGCUACUGUAUCGAUCUGACCCAGUAUGCUAAUAUUGAUGAAAACAUUUCAAAGAAGUCUUUGAUGUUUUAUAGAGCUUGACCUGCUCAACAAUGGACGGUGGUGUAAGCUCAUAUUGUGCCAUUGUUUUUUUUUCUUUUUCUUCUUUGUUAGCAAUUUUUUCAUAUUAUUUUAAGCCAACCAGCUUAAUAGAUCCUAUAUCUAAUGGUUCUAUUUCACCUGUAUUAAUUCAUCAUUGAAUUCUAGAGUAACUUUAUAUAUUUACUGAAAAAAAUUUAUAAGAAUCUAAAUUAAUUUAUAUAAAAAACUUUCUUUUAUGAGAAAUUUUUAUAAAAAUAUUUUAAUACGUAAUUUUAUAUAAAUUUGAUCCAAAUUUUAUUAUUUUUAUUCAAUAAAUACAUAAAAGUAUUGAAAAGUGAAUUUAACCGAGACAUUCUAGAAUUCACCUCAGUCAUUUUAAGAAAAUUUUGAUAAUAUGACCUAUGCAUACGCUAGAUCGAGUUGAACAUUUUUCUUUUUACAUUCCGAUUGUUUAUGUAAAACAGUUUUUCAUAAAUAUUAAGUGCAAAAAUUAAACCUGAGAUAACAAAUUGGGAAGCACAAUUUGAAUAUUAGGUUGUGCAUCUUGCAAUUUUGUCUUGUUUAGUUUGGGAUCCUUGUAUGAGGAUUUGUUUCACAAUAAAUAAAUUAUUUAUCCUGAAUCAAAUCUUAAAAUUGAAUUUCUAUAAUAAAGAGAUUAGUGUCGUGGAGAGGAAAGAAGAUUUUAUUUCAAGCUUUCAAUGCAUUAUACUCACAUACUGAGGCUCUGAUUAGAAAUCCGAUUAGUGAAUCCACUUUUAAGAAGAAAAAAAAUAUUAAGUUUAAUAAUUGUUUCCUAAAUAAAAACAACUAAAUUAAUUUUUUUUCUAAAAGCAUAUUUGAUAAAAAUAAUUUAUAAAAAAUUAUAAAUAUUUUCUUAGCGCUCAAUAAUUUAAAUAAUCCACACAUUAAUCGGUCAAUAUAUAAUUAGCUUACAAAAUAAUUCAUGUUUUUAUAUUGGUUACCUUCUAAUGUCAUAUAAGGUGAUGGUCGUUCGACAAUAUAUAAUUAUAUGAAAAAUGUAAUUAUUUAAUGAACACCUUUGUAUUAAUGCACAAUUCUAAUAAAUGAACACCCUUCAUUGACUUCUUGUUGUUGUUAGUACUUAAUAACAUCCAUAUUCUUCUUCUUCUGUUGGCAAGUAGAGAUAUAAUACUCUCUAUCAAUAAUCAAUUAGAAAGAAGAGAAUAAAAACAGAAUUGCAUACAUAUGAAAUUGAACAAGCAUACUUUUCUAAUCAAUUAUUUCAGUAUUUUAUUACAAUAAUAUUACUCUUCAAUUAAAUGGAAAUAACAUGCACCCGAAUUUCACACCAAUACAAUUAAAAUAAUACUGCCAAGUUUCAGUUCUGGCCAUACAAAAGAAACAACGUCUCCACCAACUUUCAUCGAUACUUCAAACACAAACAUAAAAAAUGAAACAUUUUCAGAUUCAGGCAUCAGGAUUUGCCAAGAGGUAGCCUUCCACAGCCUUGAACAGACCCAUGGAUUUUUCUUUCCCAGCCUUGAUAUCCUCUUGUUUGAGCUCAAAAUCACCAAUUGUGUAGUACUUGCUGAGAG